Long non-coding RNA from Pteropus alecto (black flying fox), 818 nucleotides. RefSeq lists it as uncharacterized. The transcript has 3 exons. Lineage: Eukaryota; Metazoa; Chordata; Mammalia; Chiroptera; Pteropodidae. The record is from RefSeq and is a predicted model, not a curated record.
CUGGUUUAAUUUAAAGUGGUAAUGAUUACGCAUACAUUUCCUUUGAUUACAAAAGAACUAUAUACCCCCCCUAACAUCUGAGCUCUUACUAUUUGUCAGACAUUGGGUUAAGGAUGCUAAUAGAGCUGCUUUCCUGAGCUGAACAGAUUUCUUUUCAUCUGCUUCAUGGCAGGUCUGUAGCUCAGAGCUCCCAGUUGUGAGAGGCCAUUGAUCCGUUGGAGUCCUGUGUGUGCAGAGUAGUUCCUUCUGAGGUGGUGAUCUGGAAGCGGAAGUCUGGAAAGUCAGUGGCCAUGUCAUGAGGAAACUUGGGCAGCCCUAUGAAGAGGUCCACAUGGGCAGGAACUGAGGCCGUCUGCCAACAGCCAGCAUCAAUGUACCAGCCAUGAGAGUGAGCCAGCUUGAAGUGAAUCUUCCAGUCACACUCAACCCUUCAAAUGAUUAUCAGCCUAGCUUACAUCUUAAUUGCAAACUCAUGAGACUCCAUAAGCCAGAACCACCUAAACAGCCCCUGAAUUCUGACCACAGAAACUGUAUGAGAUAUUUUUUUAAGCCAAUAAGUUUUGGUACUGUUUUAUGCAGCAAUAGAUUAAAGAUGUUUCAAGAAACAAUUCUAAUAAACUAUUAGCUAUCUAAUGAUGACACUGUUUAUUAAGGGUAUUGUCUGUGAGUUUUGUCAAGUUACUUAGCUUUGCUACAUUUCAAUUUCCUCAUCUGUCAAAAGGGACUAAUAAGUAGUAUCCAUUUUUCAGAAUGUUUAUAGCAUUAACUGGAAUAAUGUUACAUGUAGAUAUUUUAAAUAAUAAGAAUGGAAUCUUAGA